This 292-nucleotide ribosomal RNA is filed under the name uncultured prokaryote. RNAcentral's name for it is "partial 16S ribosomal RNA". It matches the Rfam family "Bacterial small subunit ribosomal RNA", at positions 505 to 796 of the family's 1533-position model. The record is from RNAcentral.
GUGCCAGCCGCCGCGGUAAUACGGAGGAUCCGAGCGUUAUCCGGAUUUAUUGGGUUUAAAGGGUGCGCAGGCGGAAGAUUAAGUCGGUGGUGAAAUUUUGCAGCUCAACUGUAAAAGUGCCAUUGAUACUGGUUUUCUUGAGUGUGGAUGAAGUAGGCGGAAUUUGUGGUGUAGCGGUGAAAUGCAUAGAUAUCACGAGGAACUCCGAUUGCGCAGGCAGCUUACUAAACCAUAACUGACGCUCAGGCACGAAGGCGUGGGGAUCAAACAGGAUUAGAAACCCUGGUAGUCC